RNAcentral lists this ribosomal RNA (250 nucleotides) under uncultured Chroococcidiopsis sp. Its description in RNAcentral is "partial 16S ribosomal RNA". It matches the Rfam family "Bacterial small subunit ribosomal RNA", at positions 796 to 1044 of the family's 1533-position model. Lineage: Bacteria; Bacillati; Cyanobacteriota; Cyanophyceae; Chroococcidiopsidales; Chroococcidiopsidaceae. The record is from RNAcentral.
CUAGCCGUAAACGAUGGAUACUAGGCGUUGUGAGUAUCGACCCUCACAGUGUCGUAGCUAACGCGUUAAGUAUCCCGCCUGGGGAGUACGCGCGCAAGCGUGAAACUCAAAGGAAUUGACGGGGGCCCGCACAAGCGGUGGAGUAUGUGGUUUAAUUCGAUGCAACGCGAAGAACCCUACCAGGACUUGACAUGUCGCGAAUCUCAGGGAAACUUGAGAGUGCCUUCGGGAGCGCGAACACAGGUGGUGC